Triticum aestivum (bread wheat) is the source of this 116-nucleotide non-coding RNA. NCBI's taxonomy places the organism in Eukaryota, Viridiplantae, Streptophyta, Magnoliopsida, Poales, Poaceae. The record is from Rfam.
CUGCUACUCCCUCCGUUCGGAAUUACUUGUCGCAGAAAUGGAUGUAUUUAGACGUAUGUUAAGUUCUAGAUACAUCCAUUUUCGAGACAAGUAACUCCGAAUGGAGGGAGUACGAU